UACGGAGGGUGCGAGCGUUGUCCGGAAUCACUGGGCGUAAAGGGCGCGUAGGCGGUCCGGUAAGCGUGUGGUGAAAGCCCGGGGCUCAACCCCGGGUCUGCCGUGCGAACUGUCGGACUUGAGCACUGUAGAGGCAGGUGGAAUUCCGAGUGUAGCGGUGGAAUGCGUAGAGAUUCGGAGGAACACCGGUGGCGAAGGCGGCCUGCUGGGCAGUGUCUGACGCUGAGGCGCGACAGCGUGGGGAGCAAACAGG
RNAcentral lists this ribosomal RNA (253 nucleotides) under uncultured bacterium. RNAcentral describes it as "partial 16S ribosomal RNA". It matches the Rfam family "Bacterial small subunit ribosomal RNA", at positions 524 to 776 of the family's 1533-position model. The record is from RNAcentral. RNAcentral also lists the same sequence under 1 other name.